AGCUUGGAAUUAGGUGCAUUGUGGUCUUGCUGGUAUCCAAAUUUGAUCCAUAUAUAUCCCACAAUGCAAACCGGGCAUAAAAUUCAAUCACGUGUGUUUUGCCCGUAUCUGUUGUGCAUGAAACCAUUGAUUGAACGUAGGAAAGCCACUAAUUUUUCCCGCACAGUCUAACAAAUCGUUAGUAAAAUGCCUGAAAGUUGUGCAGCUUAUGACUGCACCAACCGUCGAGUCAUGGGAGGUGUUGUCUCAUUUAAUAAAUUUCCUCUUGGAAAGCAGGCUAUACUCACUAAAGUGGGUGACGGCAAUCAGGUUGUGCAGCGAGCACUUCAAGAAGGAUGACUACAUGAGAGGUAAUCAUCCCAGAGAUGACCGAGAAAAUAUUCAACAUAGAAUCAGGAGUCUGCUGUACCCUCCAUCUUUCCAGCUUACCCACCACAUAAACAACAGAAGCAAGCGAGUAAGAGGCCUCCACCUAGAAGAAAAAUGAUGACAGCGGAUCCUGGCUCACAAUCUCCUCCAUUAAAAACUGUUAAUGUUGCAGAAGAGCACAUGUAUGCAAAGAUCAAAACAUGAUAAACCAGGGACAGUUGGAGCUGUUGAAGCUGAACUUCGUACUGAAUACAUUUACGCUGAUUGAAAAUGAGCUGAAGUAAAUGGAGAAAGACAAACAUGGUCACAUGUUCUCUGAGGAAAUCAAGCAGUUCGCGUCACACUACAUGUCUAUAGUGCCCAGGGUAUGAUUUUGUUAGACAGUAUUUACAUCUCCCACAAGACUGUCAUUAUGACAUCAUCACCUGUCGUGUGACAUCAUCUUAAAGGUGUUUUAUUUUAAAUAUUUGAAAAUCUGUAACAAAUCAGCCACAAGAGACCGUAGGUUUUUGUUUGCAGGAUUGGGUAGGGAUAAAUUAGGUCUUCAUUUUAUUUCGUGUGCGUGACCUCUCAUCUAAAAGUGGCAAAAGUUAUGAAGUGGCUUUCAACGAUGUUAGUGCCUGGCAAAUGUGAGCAGUUAAAAACAAAUAUCAAUGACGUCACAAAGUGCAACUCUAGCGACAGGUUGAAAACUCAGUGGCGAAGUUUUGUGUAAUCGCCUCAAAAUGUACACAUGUUGAUUGCUGGCAGCCGUCAUUAUGUGUGAAGUUUCAGAUCGAUGACGUCACCAGAGGUCACGUGAUGUCGGUACCAGAGGUCACGAGACGUGGCAUUAAAGGUGCAUUUUUUGAAAUCGUAUAUCUCCCGAAGAAAUUAUGCGAUUAAUUUGAAACUUGGUGGAAUGUUAGAUACAGUGUGUACAUGGCAAGUUCGUGUAAAUUCUCUAUUUGUGCACAAAUGACAUUGUGUGUAGUUUGUCAUUAUUAUCAUAAUUAAAAAAAAAUUUUUUUUGGGGGGGGCAGGAAUACUCUUUUUUUUCUUUGGGUCCAGGCUUUCAAUGGUUGAUGUACAUCUGUACAAUAUAUUAUCUGCGAACACAUUGAAUUAUUUCAAAUUUUUAGUUGAAUGCAGGGACCAGUCUUCAGAUUUGAACAAGUGGAAAGUUUGUGUUGCAUGUUGUUGAUUUACAUAUAAGAACAGGUUUUUUUCUGUUGGAUUUACCAAGUUUUAUUUUAAUUAACUUUCAUAUAACAUUUUGUUUAUGUUUGAAUAAGGUUU
Asterias rubens (European starfish) is the source of this 1647-nucleotide long non-coding RNA. RefSeq lists it as uncharacterized. The transcript has 3 exons. Lineage: Eukaryota; Metazoa; Echinodermata; Asteroidea; Forcipulatida; Asteriidae. The record is from RefSeq and is a predicted model, not a curated record.